Molecule: ribosomal RNA, 539 nt
Filed under: uncultured bacterium
Lineage: Bacteria
Description: bacterial SSU rRNA
Rfam family: Bacterial small subunit ribosomal RNA
Source: RNAcentral
AGUCAAUAGAUACCCGGGUAGUCCACGCCCUAAACGAUGCCAACUAGGUGUUGGGGAAGGAGACUUCCUUAGUACCGUAGCUAAACGCGUGAAAGUUGGCCGCCUGGGGAGUACGGUCGCAAGAUUAAAACUCAAAGGAAUUGACGGGGACCCGCACAAGCGGUGGAUGAUGUGGAUUAAUUCGAUGCAACGCGAAAAACCUUACCUACCCUUGACAUGCCAGGAAUCCUGCUGAGAGGUGGGAGUGCCCGAAAGGGAGCCUGGACACAGGUGCUGCAUGGCUGUCGUCAGCUCGUGUCGUGAGAUGUUGGGUUAAGUCCCGCAACGAGCGCAACCCUUGUCAUUAGUUGCCAUCAUUCAGUUGGGCACUCUAAUGAGACUGCCGGUGACAAACCGGAGGAAGGUGGGGAUGACGUCAAGUCCUCAUGGCCCUUAUGGGUAGGGCUUCACACGUCAUACAAUGGUCGGUACAGAGGGUUGCCAAGCCGCGAGGUGGAGCCAAUCCCAGAAAGCCGAUCGUAGUCCGGAUCGGAGUCUGC